AAUCAGCUUAACAUGCCUGGUAACUUCUUGGAAUUCCGUCCUUGUUUAGCUUUUUUUUUUCUAGCAUUACAGAACUUUGUUUACUACGAAGUGCUUGACAUGAUAUGUCCUGACAUUCCAGUUGCCUGAACUACUGAGAUAGCUAAUUUUGGUCCAAAUGUUGGAAAUCAGCUUUGAAUUAUGUAUACCUGAACUGUGUUUCCACUAUCAUUCACCUAAAUGUAAAUAUGGAGCUACUAUUUUUCAUGAGCAUUCUCUGUUAGGCAAUUGUACAUCCAUGGAUACAUGGUGCAUAUUGGUUUUGUAUCAUUUCAAGGCAAAUAGUAUUAUCAGUCACAAAAAUUGGCUUUUGCAUAAAAUGAUAUGAAAUGUAUUUAAGGUGUGGAUUUGCCCAUAGAACGGAUCUAAAAUAACUUUUGAUUCUGGUCAGAUGUCAUGUAACUGGGUGAAGGUUUAUUAGAUUCCUGAUCGAGUUGAAGUGGAAUAACACCUGCAGCAGAAGGCAGUGUAUAGAAGCAGAAAACUAUUACAUAGACACUAUUCUGGUGUCAAUGCAGUUUUGCAGGGGCACGAAGCUCAAGUGUUUCCAUUAAGAUUUCAGUUAAGCAGCAAGAUUCUUGGUUGCGGUGUUCCUGACACCAACAUAUCCUGAAAUUUGACUGUAAAUCUUCUACGUGUGUAUGUAUGUGUGUAUAU
RNAcentral lists this unclassified non-coding RNA (696 nucleotides) under Hevea brasiliensis (rubber tree). The record is from RNAcentral. Lineage: Eukaryota; Viridiplantae; Streptophyta; Magnoliopsida; Malpighiales; Euphorbiaceae.